GGUCGGGUCGUUCAACGGUAGGACCGGUGCCUUUGAAGCAUCAGACGAUGGAUCGACACCAUCCCCGACUACCA
This 74-nucleotide transfer RNA is filed under the name Caudoviricetes sp. Its description in RNAcentral is "tRNA-Gln". It matches the Rfam family "tRNA". Rfam says of the family: Transfer RNA (tRNA) molecules are approximately 80 nucleotides in length. Lineage: Duplodnaviria; Heunggongvirae; Uroviricota; Caudoviricetes. The record is from RNAcentral.